Molecule: small RNA, 373 nt
Filed under: Pongo abelii (Sumatran orangutan)
Lineage: Eukaryota; Metazoa; Chordata; Mammalia; Primates; Hominidae
Description: processed transcript
Source: RNAcentral
AGGCAAUGGGUUAAUGGAGACUCUAGACGUUUGUUUCCUCACCAGUGAAAAUUAAAUGAAGACCCAGGAAUCACUACAGCUAUAGGGAUGAGAAGGACAUUUCAGCAGCUAGAGUGUGGUGGCCUCCUCAGCAGCUUCUUUGUUUGUCCAUCAAGAAAAUAUUUCUGGACAAAAACAAACUCAUAGUUGGUUGGAAGCAGGGCAUUGGGCCCAGUGUUAAAGAUUUGAAUAAGAAAGAUGCAGAAGACAUUAAUCGUAGGCUUAUCAAUGCCCCUAGGAGAUCUGUCCCCCCAUUGAAGCAACUCUGGCCUUUGGAAGUUCAUAUCCAAGAAGUAUGAUAUCAAUCUUAUUUUAACAUAAAUUAAAAAUGUGA